CCUACGGGUGGCAGCAGUGAGGAAUAUUGGUCAAUGGGCGCGAGCCUGAACCAGCCAAGUAGCGUGAAUGAUGAAUGUCCUCGGGUUUGUAAACGUCUUUUAUAAGGGAGUAAAGUGAGACACGUGUACCUUUUUGUACGUACUUUAUGAAUAAGGAUCGGCUAACUCCGUGCCAGCAGCCGCGGUAAGACGGAGGAUGCGAGGGUUAUCCGGAUUUAGUGGGUUUAGAGGGUGCGUAGGCGGGUUUUUAAGUCAGCGGUAAAAUUGCGGGGCCCAACCCCGUCCGGCCGUUGAUACUGGGGACCUUGAGUGGGCGAGAGGAAGGCGGAAUGCGUGGUGUAGCGGUGAAAUGCGUAGAUAUCACGAAGAACACCGAUUGCGAAGGCAGCCUUCCGGCGCCCUACUGACGCUGAGGCACGAAAGUGUGGGGAUCGAACAGGAUUAGAUACCCGGGUAGUC
RNAcentral lists this ribosomal RNA (459 nucleotides) under uncultured bacterium. Its description in RNAcentral is "partial 16S ribosomal RNA". It matches the Rfam family "Bacterial small subunit ribosomal RNA", at positions 338 to 795 of the family's 1533-position model. The record is from RNAcentral.